AUUGAACGCUGGCGGCAUGCUUUACACAUGCAAGUCGAACGGUAACAGGCCUUCGGGUGCUGACGAGUGGCGAACGGGUGAGUAAUGCAUCGGAACGUGCCCAGAGGUGGGGGAUAACGCAGCGCAAGCUGUGCUAAUACCGCAUGUGAUCUGAGGAUGAAAGCGGGGGACCAGGCAGCAAUGUUUGGCCUCGCGCCUUUGGAGCGGCCGAUGUCAGAUUAGGUAGUUGGUGGGGUAAAGGCCUACCAAGCCGACGAUCUGUAGCUGGUCUGAGAGGACGACCAGCCACACUGGGACUGAGACACGGCCCAGACUCCUACGGGAGGCAGCAGUGGGGAAUUUUGGACAAUGGGCGCAAGACUGAUCCAGCAAUGCCGCGUGCGGGAAGAAGGCCUUCGGGUUGUAAACCGCUUUUGUACGGAACGAAAAGGCUCUGGCUAAUACCUGGGGCUGAUGACGGUACCGUAAGAAUAAGCACCGGCUAACUACGUG
RNAcentral lists this ribosomal RNA (492 nucleotides) under uncultured bacterium. RNAcentral's name for it is "partial 16S ribosomal RNA". It matches the Rfam family "Bacterial small subunit ribosomal RNA", at positions 30 to 507 of the family's 1533-position model. The record is from RNAcentral.